Molecule: non-coding RNA, 3721 nt
Organism: Elaeis guineensis (African oil palm)
Lineage: Eukaryota; Viridiplantae; Streptophyta; Magnoliopsida; Arecales; Arecaceae
Source: RefSeq, a predicted model, not a curated record
CCGGCUUUUUCUCCUUGCGUUCUAGGGUUUAAGCGCCCACCGAUCUAUAGCUAGGGUUUAGACCUAGCUCCCGUCUCCCUCUCACGUCCCUAUCGCCGGGAAACCCAGAAGCCUUAGGAGGGGAUCCUUUUCCACCAUGAAUUUCCGGUUCCAGAACCUCCUUGGCGCCCCGUACCGUGGCGGCAACGCCGUGGUCGCGGAGAACGCCAUCCUCUACUCCCCUGUCGGCAACCGCGUCGCCGCCACUGACCUUGCCAAGUCCCAAACCGUAACGCUUCCGUUCGAGGCCUCGUCCAAUAUCGCCCGCAUCGCUGUCUCCCCAGACGGCAACUUCCUCCUCGCCGUCGACGACGUCGCCCGUGCCCUCUUCGUCAACCUCCGCUGCCGCGCUGUCCUUCACCGGAUGACCUUCAAGAGGCCCGUCAGCGCCAUCCGCUUCAGCCCCGACGGCGCCCUGAUCGCCGUCGGCCUCGGCAAGCUCGUCCAGAUCUGGCGGUCCCCGGGCUUCCGGAAGGAGUUCUUCCCCUUCCACCUCAAGCGGACGCUGCCGGACUGCGCCGCCGCCGUGACGGCGCUGGAAUGGAGCCCGGAUUCCAAGUACCUCCUCGCCGGCUCGAAGGAUCUGACUGUGAGGCUCUUCUGCUUGCACAGAUCGAGGGGUUCUCAUAAACCCUUUCUGUUUCUAGGGCACAGGGAAGCCAUUGUUGGCGCCUUCUUUGGUACCGAGAAGAAAACCAAUAGGGUUUGCAAGGUGUACACUAUAUCAAGAGAUGGAGCCAUUUUCACCUGGAAUUUAGAUGAAAGCCAAAAUUUUGAUGGCUCUAGAGGGGACAUUUCAGAUCCUCCUUCUCCCGGUACACCGGAGCAAAGGCCUCCCGGAAGAAAUCUCAUUGAAAAUUCGGUCGAAUUUGAAAAUGAUGACAUAAAACCAAUGAAUUUGGAUGGUAUUCAUGCCGAAGAAUCAGAAAUCCCGCUCCAUAGAGCAAAAUGGGCAUUGUUAAAGAAGGAUUUCUUCAUGCAGGCACCAGAAAAGUUAACAGCUUGUGAUUACCACCGGGAGCUUGAUAUGGUUGUGGUUGGGUUUUCCCAUGGGGUUUUCGGGCUGUAUCAGAUGCCAGACUUUGUCUGCAUUCAUUUGCUUUCUAUAUCUAGGGAGAAGAUCACCACAGCAGUAUUUAACAAACUUGGAAACUGGUUAACAUUUGGUUGUGCGAAGCUUGGGCAGCUGCUUGUGUGGGAGUGGCGAUCAGAGAGCUAUAUUUUAAAGCAACAGGGUCAUUAUUAUGAUGUGAAUUGCGUAGCAUACUCGCCUGACUCCCAGAUGCUGGCUACAGGAGCUGAUGAUAACAAAGUCAAGGUGUGGACAGUUUCAUCAGGGUUUUGUUUCAUAACAUUUUCUGAGCACACUAAUGCUGUUACUGCAGUCCAUUUUAUGGCCAAUAAUCAUUGUCUUCUGAGUGCAUCUCUAGAUGGGACUGUUCGAGCUUGGGAUUUAUUUCGUUAUCGGAACUUCAGAACAUUUACUACUCCUUCUCCUAGGCAGUUUGUCUCUUUAGCAUCAGACCUGAGUGGUGAGGUGAUUUGUGCUGGAACUCUUGAUUCGUUCGAGAUAUUUGUUUGGUCAAUGAAGACUGGCCGUUUGUUGGAUGUUCUUGGUGGUCAUGAGGGACCAGUUCAUGGUUUAAUGUUUUCACCUACAAAUGCUGUUCUGGCUUCAUCUUCAUGGGACAAAACUGUUCGAUUGUGGGAUGUUUUUGAAGGGAAAGGUGCAGUGGAAACAUUUCCACAUACACAUGAUGUUCUUACUGUAGUAUAUCGCCCAGAUGGAAAGCAGCUGGCUUGCAGCACAUUAGAUGGUCAAAUUCACUUCUGGGAUCCUAUAGAUGGCCUUUUGAUGUACACAAUUGAGGGCCGCAGAGACAUUGCUGGGGGACGUCUCAUGACAGAUAGGAGAUCAGCUGCUACUUCAAGUUCAGGAAAAUAUUUUACAACUUUAUGCUAUUCGGCCGAUGGAAGCUAUAUUCUAGCUGGAGGGAGUAGCAAAUACAUAUGCAUGUAUGACGUUGCAGACCAGGUAUUGCUUAGGAGAUUUCAAAUUACUCGCAAUCUCUCCCUGGAUGGAGUUCUUGAUUUUUUGAACUCUAAGAGGAUGACAGAUGCUGGUCCAUUAGAUUUGAUUGAUGAUGAGAAUAGUGAUGUUGAAGAAGGGAUUGACCGACAAACACGGGAGAAGAUAGGACAUGAUUUACCUGGAUCGAUGGCCAAUCGUGGGCGGCCUGUCGUUCGUACAAAAUGUUUGAAAAUUUCACCAACAGGAAGAUGUUGGGCUGCAGCAACUACUGAGGGAGUUCUUUUGUAUUCUGUUGAUGAGUCCUUUGUUUUUGACCCCACAGACCUUGACAUAGAUGUUACACCUGAGGCAGUGGAUGAGGCUCUUGCUGAGGAUCAAACACAGAGAGCAUUAUUGCUGAGUCUCCGCCUGAAUGAAGACUCUCUAAUUAAAAAAUGCAUAUUUGCUGUGAAUCCAUCAGACAUACCAACGGUGUCUUCAGCCAUACCCUUCAAAUAUUUGCAGAGGUUAAUUGAAGCAUUUGCUGAACUUCUAGAAAGCUGUCCGCAUCUGGAAUUUAUUCUUCAAUGGAGUCAGGAGCUCUGUAAGGCUCAUGGUCAUUUCAUCCAGCAGAAUUGCAGAAGUCUGCUUCCAGCACUGAAGUCCUUGCAGAAGGCAAUCACAAAAAUGCAUCAGGAUCUGACAGAUACAUGUUCUUCCAAUGAGUAUUUACUCCGUUAUCUAUGCUCUUCAGGCACCAAGAUCUGAUGGACGAUCGCUUGUGCUGACCCACUCUUAGGUCUUGGAAAAAAAUGUGUGACUAAUGGUAUAUGAACUGAGUGUGUGAUGCCUUCAGUCUUGAUGUUGUACCGACCUGCGCCUGCCACUCAAAUGAAAAGAGGAAAUAGGACAUGCGAUAAAGAUCCAAUGUAAGUUUUGGGCCAAAGGUAAUUCACCUGGCUGUUUUAUGGAGAAGUGGGAAUACAAUUUUUUCUCUUUUUUCAGUCAGAGAUGGAUUUUUUCCUCAGUGAUUCCAUCCAGGUGAUUUGUUAGCCGUGUCAGUGAUUCCAUCCAGGUGAUUUGUGCAAGUGUGUGUGUGGAGAAACCAUGAUGAAUAAAAGUGCAGUGUAUUGGAGUUCAACCUUCCUGUGAUUGAGAACCUUGCUGGGUUAUAGCGAUGCACAUUGAAAAUUAACGGGGAUUUCUAUUUUGACCGAGGAUGGCAGUUUGCUGCACUAUGUUCAUGGACGGCAUUUAACCAACCGAUCAGGGAACACCAUUUUUUGGUGAGUAAUCAAAAAGUAAAAUCUUAUUGAAUUAUGACUCAGGGAAUAAGCUUGAAGAUGGUUGGCUAAAGAUGUUAUUCUGGUAUGUGUAGCAGUAAUUUAUAAUUUCUCUGGCAUGAAUCAUAGGAAUGCAAUAUGGUGUUUGAAUUAAUGAAGAAUCCCCAAUGUCUAGAAAUAUGUCGAUUUAUUUGUAUAUUCAUUGGCCCUGUAGAGAUAAUAGAGGCUGUGUGUCCUUAUUUGAUGGAUGCCCUGUUGGGUCUAGAGAACCAGCAUGACACUAGUUCAUAGCUGAUAACCGGACGUCCGGUUCUACAGCCGCGAGGGACUGUUGUUGUAAUGAUAUUACCUUGAUAAUGAACAUGUUAUAUCAGUUUUAUUACGCAAA